AGUCGGACUGUCCUCUGUCUGGUUGUCGGUGGAGUGGGCGGUGCUUGUCUGUUUUGGUUGACGCAUGUGAAGAAAAUCUCUCCUCAUACAGACAUGUAAUCAGGAAAGGGAGGACCCUCCAGAGUCUCUUCCCCUAAAAGUGUCUUCCUUGGACCACUCUGACAACCACAUCUUUAGAGCAUCUUUUGAGGGUAUCUCAAAUACCUUACUUUUUCCAUCCUAACUCACACUUCAUGUAAAAAAUUGAAACACUAAGAGGUAGUCUAAGAUGUUUUAUUCUCUAUUCUAUUUCAGCUUUUUUUCAUUUUUAAUGUUGUACCACUAAAUUGAUUUCAUGAUUUACUAAUGGAUUGCAGCCUCAGCUAGAACACACUAUUCAGAGGGCUCCAUUGACUUGUUUAUUUUGCCAAGAAAAAAUUGUUUUGCUGGGAAAUAUGGCUACAAUUAUACACUGUAAAAUGUAUUUAAAAAAUAGUAAAUGUAUUUUUUAAAUGUAAAAAAAUAGAGUUUUCAUAAUAGGUUAGUGCUAGGUAAACCUUCUUGCUUUACAGGAGAUGAAAGAAAUGAAGUGACUUGCACACAUUAAAGAAUUAGUUCUCUUUUGGAAAGCUUUAAUUUUAGUUUUAAAAAAUGUACAUCCUGUGUUAAAAUAUUACCUAAUUAGGCCAAUAUUGAGGGUUUUGAUCUUGGACAAAAAACAUGAAUUUUGAGUUUGGAGAUUAUGAGAUAUAUUUUUGUUGCAAGUAAGAAUGCCAGACGGUUCAAAUGGGCAAGAAGUAGACUGGGUAUGUUAUCAGUCCUAGAGCUAUUGGGAUAAAGUGGAUGAUGUAAGAGUAGUAGAUGAGAUUACUUUAAAACUUUCUGGAAUGCUGGAAAAAAAUCUUUGUGAUUCAGCUUCAUUUUCAUUUAGAGUACGAUGCUCGAAAAGUACAUUGAUUAAAUCUUAAUACAUUAAAUUCCAGUGAGUUAUGCUGAAUCACCAUGCCUAUAUACAUGAUUAGCAGAAUGCAUGUGUUUAUCCCGUAUGAAUAGUGCAAAACAAAUAAUUUCUGGUUCCUUGAUUUUCAUUUUUGCUAUACUUUAUGCUGAUCGUCGCUCUUCUAUUCAUUGUCUUCAGAUAAAAUACAAGCAAUUAGAUUUCGGCUAAAUCAAUUACAAUAAUUUUCUAGUACUGAUUGCCUAAGGUUACACCCAAAGCACUUUCGUUGAAUGUUAAAAUAAUCUUUUUAUUUAUCCUAUUGGAUAGGAAGUUCAUCCUAUUGGGUUUGUGUUUGACUAAUUUAACUCUGAGUGAUAAGAUAAUCUCUCGAUUUGCUUCCAGGGUGAAGAAUUUCAUCUACUAGGUGUGUGAUUGAAUAAAACAAGUCCAGAGUAACUUUA
Molecule: long non-coding RNA, 1380 nt
Organism: Pteropus alecto (black flying fox)
Lineage: Eukaryota; Metazoa; Chordata; Mammalia; Chiroptera; Pteropodidae
Exons: 2
Source: RefSeq, a predicted model, not a curated record